This 74-nucleotide transfer RNA is filed under the name endosymbiont of Pachyrhynchus infernalis. It matches the Rfam family "tRNA". From Rfam's summary of the family: Transfer RNA (tRNA) molecules are approximately 80 nucleotides in length. Their secondary structure includes four short double-helical elements and three loops (D, anti-codon, and T loops). The record is from Rfam by way of RNAcentral. Lineage: Bacteria; Pseudomonadati; Pseudomonadota; Gammaproteobacteria.
AGGUAAUUAGCUCAGAUAGGAAGAGCAUCUCUCUUACAAAGAGAAGGUCGGCGGUUCGAUUCCGUCAUUACCUA